GUUGAACGCUGGCGGCAGGCCUAACACAUGCAAGUCGAGCGGUUGAAGGCAGCUUGCUUCUGGCUUCAGCGGCGGACGGGUGAGUAAUGCCUAGGAAUAAGCCUGCUAGUAGGGGAUAACGUCUGGAAACGGGCGCUAAUACCUCCUACGUCCGUAGGGGGAAAGCGGGGGCUGUUCGGACCUCACGCUAUCAGAUGAGCCUAGGUCGGAUUGCCUAGUUGGUGGGGUGAAGGCCUACCAAGGCGACGAUCCGUAACUGGUCUGAGAGGAUGAGCAGUCAGACCGGAUCUGGGACACGGUCCAGACCCCUACGGGAGGGAGGGCAGGGGUAGGGUGGACAAUGCGCGGAAGGCUACCCCAACCAUGCCGCGUGUGUGAAGAAGGGCUUCGGAUUGGGUAGUACUGCAAGGUGGGAGGAAAAGCAGUAAGUUAAGACCUUGCUGUAGUGACGUUACCAACAGAAUAAGCACCGGCUAACUACGUG
Molecule: ribosomal RNA, 484 nt
Filed under: uncultured bacterium
Lineage: Bacteria
Description: partial 16S ribosomal RNA
Rfam family: Bacterial small subunit ribosomal RNA
Source: RNAcentral